AACUCUACAAAACUAACAAAUACGUAAAAUAUCUACUUAAAACAUAAUCACUUAAACAAAAUUGCAUUUAUACAAAAUUGUGAGGAUAAAAGUGUGUAAGUCAAUCAGAAAAUGGUAAAAGGGACCACAAAAAUUAUAUGAAAAGUAAUACUAAUUGGUUCUUAACAGUUGUACAGGUGAUAAUGAAGGAGACGUCAGAAGGAGAUUCUA
This 210-nucleotide long non-coding RNA is filed under the name Lathyrus oleraceus (garden pea). RNAcentral's name for it is "Pisum sativum (pea) long non-coding RNA (PSAT_LNC029751)". Lineage: Eukaryota; Viridiplantae; Streptophyta; Magnoliopsida; Fabales; Fabaceae. The record is from RNAcentral.